CUCCCUCGUUGCUGACCCCAGGUUCGAUAGUACCAAUUAGGCAUCACCUCGCCAAGAACCAACUUCGAUGAAGCGACGGGCGGUGUGUGCAAGG
This 94-nucleotide ribosomal RNA is filed under the name uncultured archaeon. RNAcentral describes it as "partial 16S ribosomal RNA". The record is from RNAcentral.